This 391-nucleotide unclassified non-coding RNA is filed under the name soil metagenome. Its description in RNAcentral is "partial contains 5.8S ribosomal RNA, internal transcribed spacer 2, and large subunit ribosomal RNA". The stretch from base 1 to 122 matches the Rfam family "5.8S ribosomal RNA", at positions 35 to 154 of the family's 154-position model. The record is from RNAcentral.
GAUGAAGAACGCAGCGAAAUGCGAUACUUGGUGUGAAUUGCAGAAUCCCGUGAACCAUCGAGUCUUUGAACGCAAGUUGCGCCCGAAGCCAUUAGGCCGAGGGCACGCCUGCCUGGGCGUCACACGUCGUUGCCCCCCCAUCUACUCCUUCGGGAUUGCGGGGGGCGGAUGAUGGCCUCCCGUGCGCCUCGCCGCGCGGUUGGCAUAAAUGCCAAGUCCUCGGCGACGCACGCCACGACAAUCGGUGGUUGCGAAACCUCGGUUGCCCGUCGUGUGCGGUCGUCGCGCAUCGAGGGCUCGAAAAAAUUGCCGGGUUCCGGCUCGGCUUUCAACGCGACCCCAGGUCAGGUGGGGUUACCCGCUGAAUUUAAGCAUAUCAAUAAGCGGAGGA